AACGAACGCUGGCGGCAUGCCUAACACAUGCAAGUCGAACGAGACCUCCGUGCCUAGUUGCGCUCGGGUGCGUAACGCGGGGGAAGCUGCCCUUAGGUACCGAAUACUUCCCUUUAGGGGGUGCUAAUACAGGAUAAUGUCUUCGGACCAAAGAUUUAUCGCCUUUGGAUGGGCCCGCGUUGGAUUAGCUGGUUGGUAGUGUAAAAGCCUAUCAAGGCGUCGAUCCAUAGCUGGUCUGAGAGGAUGAUCAGCCACACUGGGACUGAGACACGGCCCAGAAUCCUACGGAAGGGAGCAGUGUGGAAUAUUGGACGAUGGGGGAAGGCCUGAUCAAGCCAUGCCGGGUGAGUGAUGAAGGCGUUAGGGAUGUGAAGCUCUUUUACACGGGAUGAUAAUGACGGUACCGGGAGAAUAAGCACCGGCUAACUCCGUG
Molecule: ribosomal RNA, 433 nt
Filed under: uncultured bacterium
Lineage: Bacteria
Description: partial 16S ribosomal RNA
Rfam family: Bacterial small subunit ribosomal RNA
Source: RNAcentral